UCCUCGAUAGUCUAGUGGUGAGGAUAUCUGCUUGUCAUCAAUCGAUUCGCAGGGGACCGGGGUUCAAUUCCCCGUCGAGGAG
RNAcentral lists this transfer RNA (82 nucleotides) under Colletotrichum sublineola. It matches the Rfam family "tRNA". Rfam says of the family: Transfer RNA (tRNA) molecules are approximately 80 nucleotides in length. RNAcentral also lists the same sequence under 1 other name. Lineage: Eukaryota; Fungi; Ascomycota; Sordariomycetes; Glomerellales; Glomerellaceae. The record is from Rfam by way of RNAcentral.